GAGAAUGUGGGCUGACCAGAAAAUCCAGAGAAGAGCCCUGGUGUAAAGAUGAAACCUAUUAAGAGAGACUGAAUUCUGAAUCCUUAGGCUAAGGAGGAACAGGAUAACAGCCUUCAGCUGCUGGGCUCCAGUCAAGUACAUUGUCCCUCCUGAUCACGACUGCUCUGAAGGCAGGGUAGCUGUCUGAUGUGUCCUGCUGGCACCUGAGUACUUCAGGCUGAAAGGAUUAUCCUGUUGCAUUGUAAACAACCACUAAACCUUCUAAAGAGAUUUCUCAUCUGCACUGUUUUGCUGACAUUGCUUGUCGUGGACCCAUUUCCUGGUGGUUCUCCCUGAGGGGAUUAUUUU
Molecule: long non-coding RNA, 348 nt
Filed under: Anas platyrhynchos platyrhynchos (common mallard)
Lineage: Eukaryota; Metazoa; Chordata; Aves; Anseriformes; Anatidae
Description: lncRNA (ENSAPLG00000022712.1)
Source: RNAcentral